UACGUAGGGGGCUAGCGUUGUCCGGAAUCAUUGGGCGUAAAGCGCGUGUAGGCGGUCCGGUAAGUCAGCUGUGAAAGUCAAGGGCUCAACCCUUGAAAGCCGGUUGAUACUGUCGGGCUAGAGUCCGGAAGAGGCGAGUGGAAUUCCCGGUGUAGCGGUGAAAUGCGCAGAUAUCGGGAGGAACACCAAUGGCGAAGGCAGCUCGCUGGGACGGUACUGACGCUGAGACGCGAAAGCGUGGGGAGCAAACAGG
Molecule: ribosomal RNA, 253 nt
Filed under: uncultured bacterium
Lineage: Bacteria
Description: partial 16S ribosomal RNA
Rfam family: Bacterial small subunit ribosomal RNA
Source: RNAcentral